AAACCUUAAUAAUUUGGCGGUGUUUAUUUUAUAGAUGGGCAUGUAAUUUAAUCGAAAAUACACGAAUUAUCUCACUUAUAUUGUCUUGUAUACCUCCGUAUAGAUUUUAUUUAAUUAUAACUUUAAUUUUCUUGAUAAUAAUUUUGAAAUUCAGGUCAAGGUGCAGUUUAUAUAAGUUAUUAUGUGGCACAUUAAUUAAUAAAUAGUGGAUUUAAUUUGAAAAGAUUAAUAAAAAUGAAUUUAUAAGUAAAAUAAAAUAAUAUAUUUAUCUGAAAUUUUAUUAAACAUGUACACAU
RNAcentral lists this ribosomal RNA (296 nucleotides) under Opisthopatus roseus (pink velvet worm). RNAcentral's name for it is "partial 12S ribosomal RNA". The record is from RNAcentral. Lineage: Eukaryota; Metazoa; Onychophora; Udeonychophora; Euonychophora; Peripatopsidae.